RNAcentral lists this ribosomal RNA (424 nucleotides) under uncultured prokaryote. RNAcentral describes it as "bacterial SSU rRNA". It matches the Rfam family "Bacterial small subunit ribosomal RNA", at positions 355 to 796 of the family's 1533-position model. The record is from RNAcentral.
UGGGGAAUCUUGGACAAUGGGGGCAACCCUGAUCCAGCCAUGCCGCGUGAGUGAUGAAGGCCUUAGGGUCGUAAAGCUCUUUCGCCUGUGAAGAUAAUGACGGUAGCAGGUAAAGAAACCCCGGCUAACUCCGUGCCAGCAGCCGCGGUAAUACGGAGGGGGUUAGCGUUGUUCGGAUUUACUGGGCGUAAAGGGCGCGUAGGCGGGGUAUCAAGUUAGGGGUGAAAGCCCGGGGCUCAACCUCGGAACUGCCUUUAAAACUGAUACUCUAGAGUCCGGAAGAGGGUCGCGGAAUUCCCAGUGUAGAGGUGAAAUUCGUAGAUAUUGGGAAGAACACCGGUGGCGAAGGCGGCGACCUGGUCCGGUACUGACGCUGAGGCGCGAAAGCGUGGGGAGCAAACAGGAUUAGAUACCCGCGUAGUCC